Molecule: ribosomal RNA, 497 nt
Filed under: uncultured bacterium
Lineage: Bacteria
Description: partial 16S ribosomal RNA
Rfam family: Bacterial small subunit ribosomal RNA
Source: RNAcentral
GAUGAACGCUGGCGGCGUGCCUAAUACAUGCAAGUCGAGCGAACAGACGAGGAGCUUGCUCCUCUGACGUUAGCGGCGGACGGGUGAGUAACACGUGGAUAACCUACCUAUAAGACUGGGAUAACUUCGGGAAACCGGAGCUAAUACCGGAUAAUAUAUUGAACCGCAUGGUUCAAUAGUGAAAGACGGUUUUGCUGUCACUUAUAGAUGGAUCCGCGCCGCAUUAGCUAGUUGGUAAGGUAACGGCUUACCAAGGCAACGAUGCGUAGCCGACCUGAGAGGGUGAUCGGCGACACUGGAACUGAGAAACGGUACAGACUCCUACGGGAGGCAGCAGAAGGGAAUAUUCCGCAAUGGGCGAAAGCCUGACGGAGCAACGCCGCGUGAGUGAUGAAGGUCUUAGGAUCGUAAAACUCUGUUAUGAGGGAAGUACAAAUGUGUAAGUAACUAUGCACGUAGUGACGGUAACUAAUCAGAAAGCCACGGCUAACUACGUG